AUUGAACGCUGGCGGCAGGCUUAACACAUGCAAGUCGAGCGGGGGAAGGUAGCUUGCUACCGAACCUAGCGGCGGACGGGUGAGUAAUGCUUAGGAAUCUGCCUAGUAGUGGGGGACAACAUCUCGAAAGGGAUGCUAAUACCGCAUACGUCCUACGGGAGAAAGCAGGGGAUCUUCGGACCUUGCGCUAAUAGAUGAGCCUAAGUCGGAUUAGCUAGUUGGUGGGGUAAAGGCCUACCAAGGCGACGAUCUGUAGCGGGUCUGAGAGGAUGUUCCGCCACACUCGGACUGAGACACCGCCCAGACUCCUACGGGAGGCAGCAGUGUGGAAUAUUGGACAAUGGGGGGAACCCUGUUCCAGCCAUGCCGCGUGUGUGAAGAAGGCCUUAUGGUUGUAAAGCACUUUAAGCGAGGAGGAGGCUACUUUAGUUAAUACCUAGAGAUAGUGGACGUUACUCGCAGAAUAAGCACCGGCUAACUCUGUGCCAGCCGCCGCGGUAA
Molecule: ribosomal RNA, 501 nt
Filed under: uncultured bacterium
Lineage: Bacteria
Description: partial 16S ribosomal RNA
Rfam family: Bacterial small subunit ribosomal RNA
Source: RNAcentral